RNAcentral lists this non-coding RNA (98 nucleotides) under Rhodella violacea. Lineage: Eukaryota; Rhodophyta; Rhodellophyceae; Rhodellales; Rhodellaceae. The record is from RNAcentral.
UGAAAAAAUUCAAAAAGAAGCAUGGAAUAAAAAUUCAAAAAAGAAGAAUGGAAUUGGUACGAUACGAGAUAUCUACGGAUUCCACUCUUCUUUUUUGA